CCUACGGGAGGCAGCAGUGGGGAAUUUUGCGCAAUGGGCGAAAGCCUGACUAUGUGACGCCGCGUGAGGGAUGAAGGUCUUCGGAUUGUAAACCUCUUUCGAUGGGGAAGAAUACCCGCGCUAACCACGCGGAUUGACGGUACCCAGAGAAGAAGCCACGGCCAACUCUGUGCCAGCAGCCGCGGUAAGACAGAGGUGGCUAGCGUUACUCGGAUUUAUUGGGUGUAAAAGGCAGGUAGGCGGCUAUGUAAGUUGGAGGUAAAAUCCUUGGGCUUAACCCAAGAACUGCCUUCAAAACUGCAUAGCUUGAGGCCGGAAGAGGAAAGCGAAAUUCCCGGUGUAAGGGUGAAAUCUGUAGAUAUCGGGAGGAACACCAGUGGCGAAGGCGGCUUUCGGGGCUGGCCCUGACGCUGAGCUGCGAAAGCUGGGGGAGCAAACAGGAUAAGAUCCCCGGGUAGU
RNAcentral lists this ribosomal RNA (459 nucleotides) under uncultured bacterium. Its description in RNAcentral is "partial 16S ribosomal RNA". It matches the Rfam family "Bacterial small subunit ribosomal RNA", at positions 338 to 794 of the family's 1533-position model. The record is from RNAcentral.